Struthio camelus australis is the source of this 6733-nucleotide non-coding RNA. Lineage: Eukaryota; Metazoa; Chordata; Aves; Struthioniformes; Struthionidae. The record is from RefSeq and is a predicted model, not a curated record.
CGCCCGGGAGCGGCCCGUGGGUUUCCGUGGACCUGUUCCCGGCGUCAGAGCCCGCGUGGGCUCGGUGUUGUGUUCCCUCCUGGACGGCAAGAGCGAAGGUUUAUGGCGAGCUGGUGCGGCAGACCCUGUGGUGUGACCGUAAGGUAAAAGUCGCCUCUGCAAGCCAGCAAUCUGAUGGUUUUAGAGGGUUUUGGGGUCUGACGUUCAAUUCCUAAGAAGGGGGAUGGCAAAACAUCUUUAAAGUGCAUUUAUGCUUUGUGUGUUUGUAUGUUGCGCGCUGGCUGCGCUGGCCCAGGUCCAAGCUGAAGUUUCAUGUGGCCUGUGGAGAGCCGAGCAGGUUUCUGGGAGAUGCUUGAAAUGCCUUUGGCCUAACCAGCACCGAGCUUAUGCUGAUACACCUGUACUGUUGGCCCGCGUUUACAAUGGGCAAUUUAACUGCCCUAGGCCAAGAGCCGGAGGAAGGACUGUGAGACACGGAGACUUGUCCUUCCUCUCCCACGUUGUCUUCCUCCUCUAUUUGGGGCAAGGCCUCUCCGUGUGCCUGGUAGAGCAGACAACGCAGCGAGAGCUGGUUCUCACUUGAGAUGCUAAUGUAAUUAUCAUACUAUUACCGAGUUUCCUUCAUGGCCUCUGGUGAAGGGCACCGCUUAAAUCCUUUCGGAGAGUUCUAUUAAAAGACAUCAGCAAGCUCAACGUUACUCCAGAAACUAUGGCAAUUAAAUUGUCUAUCAGCUCCCAAGUUGUAGGUGGAACAGUUUUGGGGCAGAUCUAGGUGGCCUAUUUCAGAAUGUGACUUUUUGGGUUGCCUGCCGCCAGGCGCUGGUGGCCCCAGAGACCUUCAGAGUCACCCUGUUGAACUCAUGCCAUUUAAACGUUGGUAAACCACAAUCAGCUUUUUGCUCAAAGAUCUGUUGAGGGCAAUUCAUGUUGUCCGUAGGUUUGUAGCUGGUGUUUAUCGUUAUCAUUUGGAAAGCGGAGAAGUCCUGAUAGCAAAAAAAAAAAAAAAAAAGGAAAAAAACCCUCCCAAAAAAACCCGACCCAACAAAACCCCCCAAAAGAAGGUGGAUAAUGAGGCUGCUUUCUGCCAGUACAUCCGAGCUGUUUUCAGUUGUUAGGUUUCUCAUUUGCACUGAAGUUUUACUGUGACAGAGAAUUGCCUACGGGCUGUUCAGUGCUUUGUGCAAUUUUCAAGGCAUUUCUCACAUUUGUGCAGUAGGCAGUGACUUGAGUAUCUGGUGUGCAGUGUCUCCUUUACAGCCCGCACGAGCCUACCUUUCCAGGCACCAGCAAGAGGAACGGUGCCUCGCAGGAAGAAACGGAGGAACGUGGUCGCUCGGUUGCCCCCAGUGCAGCAAUGGACUAAAUUAAUGACUAUCACAACAGGGUGCAGGCUGCUGGGAGCCCGAGCCUGCGUGCAAGGAUCAGUUUUCCUUGGGGAUGCGUGCCUGUCCAAAGGAGUAAAAGGGAGUGAGAAAAGGCCACCACAUGGCCUGUGUUAGCUCUCUGAGCUUAGCAUCAAGUGAGCAAAUGAGAAGGACACACCUGUGCCUGCGGGGAGGGUUUCUUGUCUCCCUGCAUGCCAGCCAGCACGGCAGAGCUGGUGCAAGGGCCGGCGUAACUCCCUGCUAUCUUGUCAGGCCUCUUUCUAACACCUGGAGCCAGGGGGGAGCGGAGAGGGGAUGGUGCUUCACAGAGCCUUCGGUGGCCCGUGAGGCUGCUGCUGUGUACUGCUCCCUUCAGCGUGAGCCAGGGAUUUGCUCUGCGGGUCCUUAGUGGGGUCGCAGACCUUGCAUGAAAUAUGCCGUCGAGUCAGAAUUCACCCUGUGUUUUGCACGAAAACUCCUCGCGUCUCCACUUCUCUGCUCCUCUCCUGCCAGAGGACGAGCGCUCCCUGCUCCUGGUCAUCUGAGCUAGCCAGCGGGCCAGCACAACUGGGGACACCUGGAGCUCUGGGCACAUCUGGUGCUUUUUGCAUCAGACCCAUCAGGUUCGACCAAGUUCCCCAUCUGGGCUCAGCCUCCGUUCAGGUGUUUAGAUAAGGUCAGUAUUUGGAGAUCAGAACUGGGUCUGUGGCUCAAAAAUGACAAAUGGAAUAUUUAGUAGUUCCUCAGAAUAAGCCAGUGUCUUCUUGCCUACUCCUGCAUGCAGUGGGCAUGAGGUCCUGCCAAAGUAGUAGGGCUGUGUGUCAGGCCCUUGGUGGAUCCUGAGGAAGGGAAUAUUAAAAUGUCCCCUCAGUUUCUGCUGCAGGGAAGCUGCUCGUGGAGCUGUCCUGUCCUCAGGGACCGCGGUGUGUGAGGAAGCUUCUGCCACAAAGAGUCAAAGGGAGCCCCAGGGACACCCACAACGUCUCUACGGCUGAGCCAUCAGGUCUGGUGCUGCUGUGAGUCUACGGGCAUGCAGGCUGCUGCUCAAUGGGGGCGUCUUUGCCCUUGGGUACGUCCCUUGAUGCAGAAUGUGGCACUGAAACGCCAGGCUCCUGCCUCCUGAUGUGCAGGUAGGGACUGGAAAUAUUGGGUAUGUAUUGAUUUGGACGUAGCUUGAUGAGAACCAAAUCCGUGCGUUCUCUCAGCAGCGCUGGGGGACAAUUGCCAGGGACUGUGAUGAGUGUGUUAAGCUAUUUUCCUUUCUCACUUCAAUCAGAAGUGCACAAAAUGAGUUUAAUGAAGGGCUAUUCUCUGCUUACAAAAUGGUGCUGCGAAAGCUAGAUGAAUUCCCCUGACCUUUCCAUGUGCUUUACAUUAAUUGUCUGCCUCUUCAUGUCCUCUUCUCGCUGCCUUAAACGGUCAGCUUUUGGAAAGGCAGCUGAAAUAUAGCAUCUUAAAAUACUAAGACAUGUUGCCUUCUUUCGAGCAGUCGCUGGUGUUCUUACUGAAGUCUUUGUUAUUUAUUAUUGUUGUUAUUUGUAUUCACGUGUCGGGGAGCUCUGCAUAACGCUUUGGAGAAAGGAAUAUCCUGGAUUCCUUGAUACUACUGUAGUCAAAAUCAAAGUACCCUCUCCAGUGUGAUGUAAGAGAAGUAGAAGGAAAUAACCUGUGGAUAUGCCUGGAGGAUAAAACCAAAGCCUCUGCUGUGGCAGCCACGCUGUUGGGAAGCAGAAAGGACAGGAUUCAUGCUUGCCCUCUACUCACGGCGCAGCUGUGUUACAUGCCGAGUAAAAGAACGAAGCGAGAUUGAAAGCAACACCAGAAACCCCAGCCCUCGCUCUUGCUUGCGGCGGUGCAGCUGCCAGGUCGGCGGUGGGACACCGGGGACUGCCAUCCCACUGGGAAGAAAAUAAACCAGCAGCGACCAGGUCUGCCUUCGGCAAACACUAAUGAAGCAUUUUGGGCGUGUUUCUGUUCACGUGACUCUUAGUACAAUAAUGCAAAAUGUACAAAUCAAACCAAAUCAGGUGCGAAUAUUAAUGUCGUUGUUGAAUCCGGAUUUCUUAGAUGGUGGCGCAGCGUCUGUGGCCGAAUAUGCGCAGAACUGCUGGUGGCUAGACGAGAGGAACCCGACAGCUAGCUAUCACAUUUUUCAAGGGCUUAUUCCUAGCUGUUUAAUACCUCAUAUGCUCUCUUGGGGAGGGAGUAGAGAAGAACGGAGGAGUAUAUUUGGCACAGCAAGGAAGUGGACUCAGGUCUUUUCCAUCCGUUAGUGCUGUGCCGAGGGAGAGAAAGCGUGGUCCCGCAGUGGUGCUGAUCCUCCUCCACAGCGAGCUGAACGGUUUGAACUGGAGCAACUCCUCUCAUUUUUCCCCCAUGUGAGUGUGAGUCAGGCUGAGCUUCUCUAUUCUUCUCCAUAAUUGAGUAGGAGAUUAUUUUGACUGGAAAGAACCAGACGCAGGUGUCAUGGCUGUGAACGUCUCCGUGCAGGCCACUUGCUGAAAGUCCUGUAAUGUUCUGCGAGGGAAGUUGGGCUUUAAAGGGUUGGCUCAAUGGAGAGGGAAGAAAAGGAGAGGGGAAGAAUAGCUCCUUCCUGCUCACUUCUGUCUGUCACGGUCUCUUCUAAACUGAACCGGCUGAAUUGUUGGUGGCAUGCUGUUCCUCAGAAGCGGCUCUUUUGUGGAAGGGCUCCCCGGCGACACGGGACGAGACGGGAAAUAUCAGCCACGUCGUGUCUUGCUACAGGAGCUUUUAGCUGCUAUUCCAGUCCCUGCCACAGACGUGCCAAGAAAGUUACAGAACAGCGUUCCUCUAAAAAAAUCUCCCAGGGAAUCUCCCCAUGCACGCGUUUUCCUGUUUCUUCACUUCGUUUUUCCGUAGUGCCCUCUCAUGGCCGUGUGCUUGGGUUGUACUUUGCACCCCUUGGCCGUGGAUUCAGCAAGCGCUGGAGCGCAGCGCAGCACGGAAGAGAAGCAGAGCCGGCGUACGUAAGGCGCGUACGUACGCACGCGUAGGGGUGCGCGGGUCUCCCUGCGAGGCGCUGAGCCCUGCGGGUGCCGGCUCGUUGCAGGGAGAUGGGUGCAGGCUCCGCUGUGAGGGCUGAGUCCUAGCUACGUGCUCUUGUACUAGCAAAGCCCGUUCCUAAGGAGUGUCUGACUAGAUCAAACUUUCCCCGAUUUAUACCUAAAGAAAAGUGGAAUGGCUUCAGGCUGUUGAGCCGCGGUGCUGCAGAGUAGCCAACCCCAGAAGUUUCGUCUGUGCUGUAGUGACCUGCAGGCACUGCUCGUCUGCUCGUGCACCCGAUGUCCCAGCUCCAUGCUGUGGAGCUAACGAGCUUUUGGAGAUACUAGGGUGCUGCGGGCUCCUUAGUCCGGGGAUAAGCAGCUUGUUGCCUUUAGGAGCCCUUGGCUCUGGGUCUUCUCAGCAAGCAGAAAGUCUUCUAUAUUAGUAGGAAGGGUUAUGACGUUUUGUCACUAAAUAGGUGUAUUGCUAAUUACCUGCAUGCGCGUGUGCGCUGCAGCCAUCUCCGUGGGCUGAGGUGACAACUGGCUGCGGCAAAAACGGGCAAUGCGUUAUAUGCUCCGUCGUCAACUUUGUCUGCUUGACUGAUUUCCAACUUAACAAGCUACGCUCCCUGCGCAGGGACUGUGCGGUCUCAUCGGUGCAGGACGACUCUACCGCCCUCGUAGUGGUGAAAUACCCGUUGACACCCACAGCAAAUUUAUCACUAACAGCAUAGACUCUUUCAGAGCAAAGGGUGACUGUCUUAGUUAUGAACUUCUUAUAGUUAACUUAUUUAGUUAUAAACGACUUAUUUUCACCAGUUCCCUUUCUCUGCUUUCAGACAGAGCUACUAUGAAUGUCCGUCCAGAAAAGUCACUGGCUUAAAAAAGAGGUCAUGUACAACUGAAAGAUUAUUUUCAAAGUCAAUGUGAAAAGAAGCUUUUACUUCUUCAGCAUGUGUUCAACCCAUCUUGUCUUCUCCACUUGCUAUUUACUAGUAUCUGCCAUCAGAAGCAAUCCUGCUGCACCUGGUCAGUAGGACUGCUCCUGGUUGCAACUGCCGCUCUUACGAAAUGCCAGAGACUCCUCUUCGGGCAGUCAAAGCAUCUUCAUUUUUAUUGUGCAUUGUACUUUUUUUCCCUCUUUUAAUUAUUGCCCAGAUAUAAAUGAUCCCAACAGUGCUGCUGCAAGGUGUAACUAGGAACAUAAUUUGGUGUGUGUUCCUAAAAUUUAUUUUAAUUGCUCUCCCUGGAGCAGUUUGGGAAUUGUUCUAAUUAUUGGGGAGAAUUAUUUGAAAUGCUGGAGGUACUACUAAUGGAAAUCUGUCCUGCUGCUGACAUCAGUUCAUUGGCAGAUUUGCCAAAAAGUAUCUUUCAGUAUAAGCUAUAUUGAGGUAUGAUCAUACAAAAUAAUGACUUAAGUGCAAUUAUACAGUGUAAUUGUUCUAGAUAAAUUUCUUUUUUUUUUCUUUUCUCUUCUGCAGCAAUACGGAAAGUGCUUAGUAAGGACGCACGUGGUUGGAAGGACCGUCGAGAUCUGCAUGAAUUUCAUGCAUGCAACGUGUGAGUCCGACCUGGGAAACGAGCGUUACCUGCCAAGUUUUAUAAGGCCACUCGCCGCCGUUCUCUACGGAGAGACCCAGCUCUGUUGCCAGUGAGCAAAGCGGGAAUUUUGACAGUGAUUUCCAAGGGAGCUAAAUCGUGCUCCGUGAACAUGGAGCGCUAGCAUGCAGUGCUCCUUCUCGUUUUUUACUUAUUAAUGUGACUAAUUAAAUGUUUGUAUUUUUUAAGCGCUAACUGGUUUUUGAUAGUCGUUUAGAGACUUCGAGAAAGUCAAUAAUUUUGAUGAAAUAAGACUGGAGACUCCAGAACAAAGUCCACAAGGAAUCUGUGGUGUUGCUAGGAUACCGCUAUUAGUAUUUUCAGUGGCUGGGGUAUUUUUUUGGUGCGUUUUUUUAAUCGAUUCGGUCUAACCAGUCUUACAAACAAUAGGAGAGCAUGCGACUGACUGAUCUCAUUUACACAACACUCCCCCCAUUUACAGUAACGAAGCCAAAUUUGACCCAUGAGUUUCGUCCAAUUUUAUAUGUGAAGAAGAAACACAGGGCGUAAUUUUGACCUGAACUAGGUGGAGCACAUUUUACUCCAAUUUGGACUUUUUUUCUCCCUUAAGGUGUAGACUUUUCUACAUCUGCGUGUUACAUUCAUGAACUCAGUCUCCCUCUAGCGGUUAUUUCCAAAGGGGUCCUUGGCUUUACUGUCGGAAAAAUUUGAUGGGCACAGAAUUUGCUUGAGUGUGAGGGAGAAAGUUGAGAUAACCCGCCUGAGCUGAACCACAGAGUAGCAGUGAACUCACAGUUUGCAAGA